AGCGAACGCUGGCGGCAGGCCUAAUACAUGCAAGUCGAGCGGGUCCUUCGGGAUUAGCGGCGGACGGGUGAGUAACGCGUGGGAACGUGCCCUUUGGUACGGAACAACUGAGGGAAACUUCAGCUAAUACCGUAUGUGCCCUUCGGGGGAAAGAUUUAUCGCCAUUGGAGCGGCCCGCGUUGGAUUAGGUAGUUGGUGAGGUAAAGGCUCACCAAGCCUACGAUCCAUAGCUGGUCUGAGAGGAUGACCAGCCACACUGGGACUGAGACACGGCCCAGACUCCUACGGGAGGCAGCAGUAGGGAAUCUUGCGCAAUGGGCGAAAGCCUGACGCAGCCAUGCCGCGUGAAUGAUGAAGGUCUUAGGAUUGUAAAAUUCUUUCACCGGGGACGAUAAUGACGGUACCCGGAGAAGAAGCCCCGGCUAACUUCGUGCCAGCAGCCGCGGUAAUACGAAGGGGGCUAGCGUUGCUCGGAAUUACUGGGCGUAAAGGGAGCGUAGGCGGAUAGUUUAGUCAGAGGUGAAAGCCCAGGGCUCAACCUUGGAA
RNAcentral lists this ribosomal RNA (546 nucleotides) under uncultured bacterium. Its description in RNAcentral is "bacterial SSU rRNA". It matches the Rfam family "Bacterial small subunit ribosomal RNA", at positions 28 to 620 of the family's 1533-position model. The record is from RNAcentral.